GCAGCAUUCGGACCGUCGGUAUACCGAGCAAUAUCACCCGCUCGGUGGGAGAUCUUGCCUUUCGUCAG
RNAcentral lists this microRNA precursor (68 nucleotides) under Bombyx mori (domestic silkworm). RNAcentral describes it as "mir-2774 microRNA precursor family". It matches the Rfam family "mir-2774 microRNA precursor family". Lineage: Eukaryota; Metazoa; Arthropoda; Insecta; Lepidoptera; Bombycidae. The record is from Rfam by way of RNAcentral.